UUAUUUAUUCAGCUUAAUUUCCCAAAAGGAAAACGGGGGACCCAUUUGUGGGGUGAAUCGCGAAAAGCGUAGAGCAGGCGCUCGAACCCGUCAGCUAACCUCGUAAGCGUUGGAACACGUUUAA
Molecule: small RNA, 124 nt
Filed under: Desulfosporosinus sp.
Lineage: Bacteria; Bacillati; Bacillota; Clostridia; Eubacteriales; Desulfitobacteriaceae
Also listed under: 1 other name
Description: c-di-AMP sequence
Rfam family: c-di-AMP riboswitch aptamer (ydaO/yuaA leader)
About the family: This family represents a conserved RNA structure found upstream of the ydaO and yuaA genes in Bacillus subtilis and related genes in other bacteria. The ydaO/yuaA element is thought to act as a genetic "off" switch for the ydaO and yuaA genes in its native state.
Source: RNAcentral